AUUGAACGCUGGCGGCAGGCCUAACACAUGCAAGUCGAGCGGAUGAAGGGAGCUUGCUCCUGGAUUCAGCGGCGGACGGGUGAGUAAUGCCUAGGAAUCUGCCUGGUAGUGGGGGAUAACGUCCGGAAACGGGCGCUAAUACCGCAUACGUCCUGAGGGAGAAAGUGGGGGAUCUUCGGACCUCACGCUAUCAUAUGAGCCUAGGUCGGAUUAGCUAGUUGGUGGGGUAAAGGCCUACCAAGGCGACGAUCCGUAACUGGUCUGAGAGGAUGAUCAGUCACACUGGAACUGAGACACGGUCCAGACUCCUACGGGAGGCAGCAGUGGGGAAUAUUGGACAAUGGGCGAAAGCCUGAUCCAGCCAUGCCGCGUGUGUGAAGAAGGUCUUCGGAUUGUAAAGCACUUUAAGUUGGGAGGAAGGGCAGUAAGUUAAUACCUUGCUGUUUUGACGGUACCAACAGAAUAAGCACCGGCUAACUUCGUG
This 484-nucleotide ribosomal RNA is filed under the name uncultured bacterium. RNAcentral describes it as "partial 16S ribosomal RNA". It matches the Rfam family "Bacterial small subunit ribosomal RNA", at positions 30 to 507 of the family's 1533-position model. The record is from RNAcentral.